AUCCACCUUUAUGCAAACUGCAGUAUUUAGUAGAAAAGAGAUAAGCUUCUAGACAACUUAAAUUUGUGUUUAGAAACUAAAUUGAUUCAGUUUGUGUUCUCCUAUGAAUCUUGAAUGUGAUAAUGCUAUUCAGGCAGUUCACAUUUUUGGUAGGAUCUCAAUAACUCAGGGUAGGUAGGGUUCCAUAGCAAAAUAGCACAGUUAUUAGUGAGGGGAAUGCCUCAAGGGUCUGUAAGAUUUUCUCUUUUUUUUUUUUUUCCUGUCUAUUCAGACACAUUGUAAGAAAACUUGGACAGUCUCAGACCUGCCAUUGAUUUUUCAGAUUGAGGCCUCAGUGACAUGCUUCUAAUACAAUUU
RNAcentral lists this long non-coding RNA (357 nucleotides) under Bos taurus (domestic cattle). Its description in RNAcentral is "long non-coding RNA NONBTAT018454". Lineage: Eukaryota; Metazoa; Chordata; Mammalia; Artiodactyla; Bovidae. The record is from RNAcentral.